RNAcentral lists this transfer RNA (72 nucleotides) under Camelus bactrianus (Bactrian camel). It matches the Rfam family "tRNA". Rfam says of the family: Transfer RNA (tRNA) molecules are approximately 80 nucleotides in length. Their secondary structure includes four short double-helical elements and three loops (D, anti-codon, and T loops). Lineage: Eukaryota; Metazoa; Chordata; Mammalia; Artiodactyla; Camelidae. RNAcentral also lists the same sequence under 2 other names. The record is from Rfam by way of RNAcentral.
AGGGAUAUAGCUCAGUGGUAGAGUGCAUUCUUAGCAUGUAUGAGGUCCUGGGUUCAAUUCCCUGUACCUCCA